AAUCAACGCUGGCGGCGUGCCUAACACAUGCAAGUCGCACGAGAAAGGGACUUCGGUCCUGAGUACAGUGGCGCACGGGUGAGUAACACGUGAAUCAUCUACCUUCGAGUGGGGAAUAACUGAGAGAAAUCUUAGCUAAUACCGCAUAAUACCUACGGGUCAAAGCAGCAAUGCGCUUGAAGAGGAGUUCGCGGCAGAUUAGUUAGUUGGCAGGGUAAUGGCCUACCAAGACGAUGAUCUGUAUCCGGCCUGAGAGGGCGCACGGACACACUGGAACUGAAACACGGUCCAGACUCCUACGGGAGGCAGCAGUGGGGAAUUUUGCGCAAUGGGGGAAACCCUGACGCAGCAACGCCGCGUGGAGGAUGAAAUCCCUUGGGAUGUAAACUCCUUUCGAUCGGGAAGAUAAUGACGGUACCGAGAGAAGAAGCCCAGGCUAACUUCGUGCCAGCCGCCGCCGUAAU
RNAcentral lists this ribosomal RNA (464 nucleotides) under uncultured bacterium. RNAcentral describes it as "bacterial SSU rRNA". It matches the Rfam family "Bacterial small subunit ribosomal RNA", at positions 32 to 524 of the family's 1533-position model. The record is from RNAcentral.